UCUAAAUCCUGGAACUGCUUUUUCAGAUGCCUCACAACCGUCUAUGCCUAAUAUAUAACACAACAGAAGUUGAAUUUCGCUGCGAAACUUGCUAUAGAAGAUGGUUGAAGACCAGUAACCACUCGGGCAGUUUGUUGUUGUCUGACACAACAGCACUGGCACAUUUAUACCUCUGCACCAGGAAUGCCGAGAAACGAGUUUCACACAGUACACAGGAUCAUGGAACAGUCUACAACAAGACUGAAGACAAAGUGCUCACUCACCAAGAAGCGUUUCGUUUAUUUCGACCAUAAGGACCAUUUCUGAGAUGGGUGCUUUGGACUCCAGGCCAACUCUUUUCAGUAGACGUAAGAAAGACAAGGGCCUCUCGUGGAAUGGCCUGAGGAGAGCGCUGUUGUUCAAGAAACAGAAGAAGCGGAGAAAGAACGUUUUGCGCAAGCUGUCUAUCGGCAACAACAGGAGAGGAUCCCUGAACCUCAAGAGAUUCUCAAUCCCAAACAUUGGGAAGAGCUCACAGUCUCCGAAGAGAUUCUCGGUCCCAAACAUCAAGAAAAGCUCACAGCCUCCGAAGAGAUUCUCCCUUUUUCAACUUUAAGGACUUUUUGGUUGGAGUAGUCCAUUCUAUAAUCACUUGUAGAUGUGUGUGUGUGUGUAUGUGUUGAUGGGGUGUCAUCUUCGGAAUACAUCUUCAGCCAUGAUCCAAGCUAAAUAAAACUAAUCUCUUAAUUUUGGCGAUUGCCCAAAAUGUUGGCGGGCUUUUCAGUCUCUAAUCCUUUAUUCUGUAACCAGCAAAAAGGCCAACAGCUCUGAACUACUGAUUGGCUGUAGGUUAUCUUUUCCCAGAAUUACUGUAAUGAUUGUGUACUUGUGGGUCCGAGUGGCCAGGUUCUCAACGUAGAAAGAAAUUAAUCUGAGCAGGUUGAACAAACCCAUCCGCCACCUGGUCACCAUGACGUCCGAACAGUCUAGUUCCUAGACUGUGACUGAUGUGACAGGGACGACUUGUUUUUGUUUUGUUUGCCUCUUUAAACCAUUUUUAUCAUUAAAAAUAUAUAC
Molecule: long non-coding RNA, 1056 nt
Organism: Sardina pilchardus (European sardine)
Lineage: Eukaryota; Metazoa; Chordata; Actinopteri; Clupeiformes; Clupeidae
Exons: 3
Source: RefSeq, a predicted model, not a curated record